Molecule: ribosomal RNA, 1245 nt
Filed under: metagenome
Description: bacterial LSU rRNA
Rfam family: Bacterial large subunit ribosomal RNA
Source: RNAcentral
ACGGAGAAGGAUAGCUCAGCAGGCUGCAUGGUUUGCCUGUUCAAGCCCGUAGGCUGAAUUGCUAGGACCCAAUAGGGACAAACGGCGAUUCAUUAAGGCCGAGAGGUGAUGAGGUCUAGCCCUAGGCUAGGACACUGAGUAAUUCCACGCUUCCUAGAAAAGCCGCGUACGGAGCCCCUUUGGUGAUCGUACUGCAAACCGACUCAGGUGGACGGGGUGAAUAUCCCAAGGCGCGUGAGAGAACCCUGGUUAAGGAUCUCGGCAAAUUGACACCGUAACUUCGGGAGAAGGUGUGCCGCUGGCGGUUAGUGACUUCGCGUCACGAAGCUGUCGGUGGUCGCAGUGAAAUGGCGGUUGUGACUGUUUACUAAAAACACAGACUCUGCGAAGUCGUAAGACGACGUAUAGGGUCUGAUGCCUGCCCGGUGCUGGAAGGUUAAGGGGAUAUGUCAGCGCAAGCGAAGCAUUGAACCGAAGCCCCAGUAAACGGCGGCCGUAACAAUAACGGUCCUAAGGUAGCGAAAUUCCUUGUCGGGUAAGUUCCGACCUGCACGAGGGCAUAACAACAUACGCACUGUCUCGACCAGGGACUCAGCGAAAUUACAUUGGGGGUGAAGAUGCCCUCUACCCGCGGAAAGACGGAAAGACCCCAUGAACCUUUACUGCAACUUGGCAGUGAUUUUCGGGUUGUUCUGCGUAGGAUAGGUGGGAGGCUUUGAAGCCGGGCUUCCGGGUUCGGCAGAGCCAACGUUGAAAUACCACCCUGAAUAAUCUGGAAAUCUAACCUGCGCCCAUGAUCUGGGCGAGGGACACUGCCUGGUGGGCAGUUUGACUGGGGCGGUCGCCUCCUAAAUUGUAACGGAGGCGUGCGACGGUUCCCUCAGGCUGAUUGGAAACCAGCCGUAGAGUGCAAACGCAUAAGGGAGCUUUACUGCGAGACUGACAAGUCGAACAGUUGCGAAAGCAGGUGUUAGUGAUCCGGUGGUACCACAUGGAAGGGCCAUCGCUCAUCGGAUAAAAGGUACUCUGGGGAUAACAGGCUGAUCGCGCCUGAGAGUUCACAUCGGCGGCGCGGUUUGGCACCUCGAUGUCGGCUCAUCGCAUCCUGGGGCUGGAGCAGGUCCCAAGGGUUUGGCUGUUCGCCAAUUAAAGCGGUACGCGAGCUGGGUUUAAAACGCCGUGAGACAGUUUGGUCCCUAUCUUCCGUGGGCGCAGGACACUUGAGAGGAGCUAUCCAUAGUACGU